Molecule: long non-coding RNA, 2929 nt
Organism: Anthonomus grandis grandis
Lineage: Eukaryota; Metazoa; Arthropoda; Insecta; Coleoptera; Curculionidae
Exons: 4
Source: RefSeq, a predicted model, not a curated record
AUAAAAAUAACCGCGGUUCUUACCAUUUCAUCGCUGAAUAUCGGCUAUAGAUUAAACCACAGAUAUAAGACGCUGAAAAUGCCGACAGCUUGCCAAAAAAUCUAUAGUCAUUACCUUUGCCCUAUUUGAUUCUCGGCUGAAGUUGUAAUAAAGUAAAAGCUAAUCAGAUAAGACACAGGUUAUCUAACGAAACUUGUCAGUCAAAGUGCAAACUCGAAAAGCACAAAAAAACACAGGCUAAUAUGCGACGAACGGACAAGGUGCGCCACACAACAGCUUGUUUAAAUAGAUACAAUUCUUGAAGGAACAAAAGACAGGAAAAUGCAGUAUUUCAACGCUUACAAAAAAAAUUCUAUUGAUGAUGCUACGUCAAACCAGAAAAAUAACACAUACCUGUCUCCAAAAGCCAUUGGACAUUUAUAGAGUGCUUACAGGAUGUUCGUGGAUUUUCAAUUUGUGGGGCGCAAGUAAAUGGUAACGAUAAAAAAGGGGUGGCGUAGAUGAUCUGCUGGAGACUAAUAAACUGAAGAUUCCACGCCCAAAUUUUUAACCAAAAAUCAUUAAAACACAGUUUUCGGAGCAUUCGAGGACUCCAAGCUCUGACUUCCACGAGUAGAAUUUAUCUGUUUGAACCGUCUUAUUAUUAAGGUGGGUGAAAUCGUAUGUAGAAAGAAGAAAGUAUUUAAAGAACAACAAUUUAGGAACAAAAUGUAGAAAAUCAGACUGUUUAUUUAUAUGUUGUUUAUAUGUCAGAUUAUUUAUUUUAAAAAAACUGAAAAAUAUCAGUGCUGUCGGAUACUACACAUAUCAUUUCUACUAUUUAUAACCGUAAGUUCGAACUUUAAUUUUCCACUAAUAAUAAUUGGAUAACCCUACUCCGCUAUUUACGUACGAAUCAUUUUAUACAAAAUAAUUCGUACAAUAAAGCCUAUUUUAUAUACAGUGAGAUUUCUCUUAGCGGACAGCUCUCAAUACUGCACAUGUCCUAUUAAUGGACAGUCUUUUUUGUCACGAGAUUUUAGGAGAACAAUUUCCUAUAAAAUAAAUUCUCAUAAGCGGACGCUCUGUCGGACGGACAAGGACAAAAAUUUUCAACACCAAAACGCGCCAAAUUUCCCAACAACGGACACGGAUCUCCGAAAGCGGACAAAAAUGACCGUUACGUUACUCCAGGAAAAAAAUCACGCCACUUUAGUAUCCACGUAUGUAAUGUUUUAGUACCGUCUUGUAAUUGAAGCAGGUGACAUGGCGCCCGUUAGAAACUUUUUAACGCUGAGGUAAAAAAUGGAGGUUGUAAAUAUUGCAGAACAGGAAAGUUUAAAUGUCCGUAAACUGGGAGAAAGGUUUAAUAUAAGUAAAAGUCAAGCGGCGGAGAUUGUAAAAAAUAAAGAAAUUAUUCGAAGACAAUGGCAAUCGGGAGAAAAUUUAGAUCAGAAAUCAGCAAAAUUGAAAGGUGCCCGCGCAAUAAAUCAAAAAAUUCCCAUCUCAGGGCCCCUAAUAAAAACGAAGGCGAAAGAAGUAGCAAUUGAAUUGGGGCAUCGCAAUUUCAGCGCAUCUGAUGGUUGGCUGAAUAAGUGGAGAAGAAGGCAUAAUAUAAGCUUUAAGUGCAUCUCAGGGGAGUCGGCAGAUGUAAACCAAGAAGAUGUGAAUCAGUUCUUAGAGAGGCUACCAGGAAUGUUGCUAGGAUAUAGGCCAGUGGACAUCUAUAACGCAGAUGAGAGCGGUUUAUUUUUUAGAGCUUUGCCAGAUAAAACUUAAUGUUUAAAGGUGAGAAGUGCACAGGGGGCAAAAUGUCAAAAGAACGAUUAACAAUACUAUUUUGCGCCAAUAUGGCUGGUGACAAAGAAAAGCUUUUGGUUAUUGGAAAAGCUGCGCGCCCACGAGCCUUAAAAAAUUUACCACUUAAGAGUUUGCCGGCUACAUGGACAUCAAAUAAAAAACCUUGGAUGACAAGAAUUAUCAUGACAGACUGGCUUUUGGAUAUCGAUAAAAGCAUGGGUUGUGAAAAACGAAAAAUUUUACUUUUUCUUGAAAAUGCCGGUUCACACCCAAGAGAACUUAACCUUAAAAAUAUUAAAAUACUUUUUUUUCCUCCCAACACAACUUCUGUAUGUCAGCCCAUGGGCCAAGGUAUAAUACAAAAUUUUAAAUGAUUUUAUAGAAGCCAGAUUUUAAAGCACAUCCUAUCAAAAAUAGAUGAUGUAUCGUCUGCUUCAGAUUUAUCAAAAUCGAUUAACAUUUUGGAGGCAUUAUAUUUUAUUAAGAACGCCUAGAAUAAGGUUACCCCACGCACUAUACAAAAUUGUUUUGUCAAAGCUGGUUUCCAAAAAUCACCUCAAGGAGAUACUCGAGCAGAAGACUACGAUCCAGAAGAUGACUUACCUUUGGCAACUUUAGCAGAAUUCUGGAAAAACUGUCAGGAAGUUGGCCAAAUUUCUAAGGCAUUAGAUAAUGACUUUAUUAUAUUGGACCAAGAACUUCAUAUGGAGGAAACAUUUGAAGGAGGUCUAGAAACCAUUGCUGAUGAGGUACAAAAUACAAUUUUGCUGGAAAGUGAUAGUGAAGAAAAGGAAGAAGAGGAAGAAAGGGAAGAAGCUUUGAGUACUGUGAAUUCUUAUGCCGAUGCAUUAAAAUGUGUUGAUGAUCUAAAAAAAAUUACAAAAAAUUAUUUUGUCGCUUUUGAACACCUUAAAAAUAUCGAAUCGCAUUUUCAAACCUGCCUUUUUCAGGAAAAAAUGAAAAAGAAGAAGCAGGCAAAAAUAUCUGACUUUUUUAAGGUAUAAGAUCUGAAAUUUGCAACAAAUUUUUAAGGAUUUUAAAUUUAAGUUUUCUUUUUCUGGUAUUUAAGGUAGCAAUGUACCUAUGUUUGUUUAUACUUGCAAUUUUCAUCAAUACAUGUUAGUUAAUAAAAAUUAUGUACAUACAUUUA